GAGGGUAUAGCUUAAGGGGUAGAGCACACGCUUAGCAUGCAUGAGGCCCUGGUACUGGGUUCAAUCCCCAGUACCUCCU
RNAcentral lists this transfer RNA (79 nucleotides) under Camelus bactrianus (Bactrian camel). It matches the Rfam family "tRNA". Rfam says of the family: Transfer RNA (tRNA) molecules are approximately 80 nucleotides in length. Their secondary structure includes four short double-helical elements and three loops (D, anti-codon, and T loops). Lineage: Eukaryota; Metazoa; Chordata; Mammalia; Artiodactyla; Camelidae. The record is from Rfam by way of RNAcentral. RNAcentral also lists the same sequence under 2 other names.